UGAAUUCAUAUAUUAACUCUGUCAAUACAGUAACAACUUACAAAAAUAGUAGUGUUUUGAAGAAUUGAGCUUUUAUGUUUUUAUAAAAGUAUCAAGUUAUCGAUACUUAUAAAUUUUUUGCCAAUGAAUUAAGAAAUGUAUAAUUAGGAUGAUAUAAAUUUUUUAAGAUUUGAGUGGAUGAUUGAUUAAAUAGCAUAACUUAAUAGAUAAAAAUAAUCAAAAGUUUAAAUCUAACGAUAACGUAGUUGAUACUUUUAUAAGCAUCAUGGU
RNAcentral lists this long non-coding RNA (270 nucleotides) under Ananas comosus (pineapple). RNAcentral's name for it is "long non-coding RNA (ACOM_LNC007361)". The record is from RNAcentral. Lineage: Eukaryota; Viridiplantae; Streptophyta; Magnoliopsida; Poales; Bromeliaceae.